UACGGAGGAUGCAAGCGUUAUCCGGAAUGAUUGGGCGUAAAGCGUCCGCAGGUGGCUGUGUAAGUCUGCUGUCAAAGAGCAAAGCUCAACUUUGUAAAGGCAGCGGAAACUACACGGCUAGAGUGCGUUCGGGGCAGAGGGAAUUCCUGGUGUAGCGGUGAAAUGCGUAGAGAUCAGGAAGAACACCGGUGGCGAAGGCGCUCUGCUAGGCCGCAACUGACACUGAGGGACGAAAGCGAGGGGAGCGAAUGGG
This 253-nucleotide ribosomal RNA is filed under the name uncultured bacterium. RNAcentral's name for it is "partial 16S ribosomal RNA". It matches the Rfam family "Bacterial small subunit ribosomal RNA", at positions 524 to 776 of the family's 1533-position model. The record is from RNAcentral.